Molecule: long non-coding RNA, 462 nt
Organism: Xiphias gladius (swordfish)
Lineage: Eukaryota; Metazoa; Chordata; Actinopteri; Istiophoriformes; Xiphiidae
Exons: 3
Source: RefSeq, a predicted model, not a curated record
CACCAGGCCUCCACGCAGGUCUGACACACAGAACGGACAACAGACUAAAAUAAAGCCAUUUUCUGCGUAGCACUGCAGUAUUACCAACAGCAGAGAUUGUCAACAUUUUCUGGCCUGUGAACUAAAACUGGCAAGAUGUCAUCUUGUGUGUGUGUGUGUGUGUACCUGACAGCAGGGUUUCACCAGGGUAGAGUUCAUCUCGCAGACAAACGCCAUUUCUGAUGGAGAACUCCUGGAGGCUCCUCUUCACCUGAGGGAUCUGAGCUGUGGCCAGCAGCCAGCGGGGAGACUCGGGAAACACUGACGCACAGCUGAGGAAAACAACUCUUUUUAUCAUAUUUUAGAGAGUUACGAGGGUGAAAAGAUAUACACACGGUCCACCUACACACUGCAAAAAUAUUGCCACCUGACUCACCACCAAUAGGACAGCAGCAGGAGCAGAGGCAAAGUGGCCACAGCCUG